Molecule: ribosomal RNA, 468 nt
Filed under: uncultured bacterium
Lineage: Bacteria
Description: partial 16S ribosomal RNA
Rfam family: Bacterial small subunit ribosomal RNA
Source: RNAcentral
GACGAACGCUGGCGGCGUGCUUAACACAUGCAAGUCGAACGGAGAGGCCCUGCUUUUGUGGGGUGCUCGAGUGGCGAACGGGUGAGUAACACGUGAGUAACCUGCCCUUGACUUUGGGAUAACUUCAGGAAACUGGGGCUAAUACCGGAUAGGAGCUCCUGCUGCAUGGUGGGGGUUGGAAAGUUUCGGCGGUUGGGGAUGGACUCGCGGCUUAUCAGCUUGUUGGUGGGGUAGUGGCUUACCAAGGCUUUGACGGGUAGCCGGCCUGAGAGGGUGACCGGCCACAUUGGGACUGAGAUACGGCCCAGACUCCUACGGGAGGCAGCAGUGGGGAAUAUUGCACAAUGGGCGGAAGCCUGAUGCGGCAACGCCGCGUGCGGGAUGACGGCCUUCGGGUUGUAAACCGCUUUCGCCUGUGACGAAGCGUGAGUGACGGUAAUGGGUAAAGAAGCACCGGCUAACUACGUG